AUGAUCUCGGCCGUCCUACCCGCUGCUGCGUCGCCGGCCGUGAACGUCGCCAGCGUGCGUACUCACGUUCCCGUCACCCUAGACCUCCAUGCUUCCAACUUCACCAAGUGGAGGAUGCUGGUUCGCGUCCUUCUCGGCAAGUACGAUCUGCUCUCCCACGUCAACGAUGUCACUGCCGAGGCGGACCGCACCCCGGACUGGACUCGUGAGGACUAUAUUGUCCGCUCGUGGCUUUACGGGUCCAUCUCCGACGAGAUUCUGGACAUUAUUAUGGCGGAGGACCAAACUGCUCAGGAGGCCUGGACGCUCAUCUCCAAUCUUUUCCUGGACUAUCAGUUGACCCGCGCGGUCUACCUCGAGGCGGAAUUCCGCGGCCUCGCCCAAGGCGAUCUCUCCAUCACCGCCUACUGUCACCGUCUAAAGGCACUCUCCGACGCCCUGAGCGAUGUCGGCACUCCCGUCUCCGACCAAACUCUCGUCCUCAACUGCCUUCGAGGGCUCAAUCCGCGCUUCUCGGACAUCACGACUAUCGUGACUAUGCAGAACCCUCUUCCGUCUUUCAGCCAGACGAGGUCCCUGCUGACUCUCCGCGAGACUCAACUCGCGAACUCCAUCGCGAUUGGGAACCAGACUGCCCUCUAUGGCAGUACGCCCUCCCACGGCACCGGCGGCUCCAACUCCUCUGGUCACCACCGCGGGUCGGACCGCGGCGACGGCGCUCGACACGGCAACAACAACGGGGGCAGCCCCUCUGGUGGGAGCCGCAACGGCGGCAACUGGAAGAAGAAGAAGUCCGGCGGCGGCGGCAACACUGGCGGCGGAUACAGUGGUGGCGGCCGCUCCAGUUCUCUCGACAACAACUCCCAGCGCGGGGCGUCCUCCUCGAUCGGCCCCUGGGUCUGUUUCAACCCGUAUACGGGGCAACAGUUCCAGGCGGGCCGCAGCCGUUCCAGGCCCCCAUCAUGA
This 966-nucleotide ribosomal RNA is filed under the name Triticum aestivum (bread wheat). Its description in RNAcentral is "partial small subunit ribosomal RNA". Lineage: Eukaryota; Viridiplantae; Streptophyta; Magnoliopsida; Poales; Poaceae. The record is from RNAcentral.